RNAcentral lists this unclassified non-coding RNA (155 nucleotides) under uncultured Lipomyces. Its description in RNAcentral is "sequence contains ITS1". The record is from RNAcentral. Lineage: Eukaryota; Fungi; Ascomycota; Lipomycetes; Lipomycetales; Lipomycetaceae.
AUGAGUUAUGUUCUUUAUUGAACAAUCAUCUCUAAACACAUCUGUGAACCCUCUUUUUCUCUGAUUCUUUAUUGAGUUGGGAAAAAGGCACAAACAUUUUUUUAAAUGCUUAUUUUUACUUUAUAGUCUGAAUGAAAAAACAAACAAACAAAUUA